This 537-nucleotide unclassified non-coding RNA is filed under the name Ionactis linariifolia. RNAcentral's name for it is "partial external transcribed spacer". The record is from RNAcentral. Lineage: Eukaryota; Viridiplantae; Streptophyta; Magnoliopsida; Asterales; Asteraceae.
GUAUCGUGCGGUGCAUUUUGGGGUUGUACAUGGCAUUCGGUUGUUUGCUUGGCUUUUUAGCCUUGCGGGUGGCUGUUUGGCAGGGCGACUUCGGAGAUGUCUACCGUAAAGGUGCAUGAGUGGUGUUUGGUUUGAUACGGGUGGUCGGCUCCCUGCUUGAGCAGGCACGGCCAUGCGUACAUUCCUUUUCAGUUGUGCGGCAAGGCUUGUAUUGUCUUGAUCGUAUAGGUGGGUUUACUGUGUUGCAUACCUGAUCAAUGGCAUUGUUUUGAUCAAAAGCGCCCCUUUUUCGUCUGGCGAUGCACCYGCRUCGUMGGAUGAACAAUGCAGCAUCCUCUUUGAUCCAUACAGUCGAUGUGCAUUCGUUGAUUGUCUGGCCCGUUGAGGGUGGCUUGGUCUCUCGAAUAUGGAAGCCAAAGUGGGCAUGGGUUCGCAAGAUCCUUUUAUUGCCCUCGUUGAGCGUUCUCGCUUCUCUUACACGACCGCCUUUCACGUAUGGCACGUCCCAGCGUGUUUGGCUACGUCGAAGAGGAAUGC